GCCGGUGUAGCUCAGUGGUUAGAGCAGGGCCUUCAUAAGGCCAAGGUCAUAGGUUCAAAUCCUGUCACCGGCA
This 73-nucleotide transfer RNA is filed under the name Candidatus Nealsoniibacteriota bacterium. RNAcentral's name for it is "tRNA-Met". It matches the Rfam family "tRNA". Rfam says of the family: Transfer RNA (tRNA) molecules are approximately 80 nucleotides in length. Their secondary structure includes four short double-helical elements and three loops (D, anti-codon, and T loops). The record is from RNAcentral. Lineage: Bacteria; Candidatus Nealsoniibacteriota. RNAcentral also lists the same sequence under 1 other name.